ACGUUUGUAGUAGGAAUUAGUUGUGCCAAUUGUUUAAGAUACAAAUGUUAUUUUGUUUGGUUUGGAAAAACAAGGUUCUGUCUUUUGCAGAUGAGUAUCGAAGUUGACGUUUAAUUAUAAGAGCAUCACGUGAAAUGUUUUAGUACAACUACAGCCAACAAAACAGGCAAUCUGAGCUAUUUUUACUCAACACCAUUAAGAAGUAGUGAGCUACAUAAAAUGACACGGCGUCAAUUAACCGCGUACGUGUUAAUUGAAAUGGGCGUAUCUUUUAAAAGAAAGAAAGAAAGAUGAACGACGCAGUGUGAACAGACGCCAUCGAGGGAAGUAACCUGCAAUUCCUAUAUGCGGAUGCAUGCUUCUAUUGACAGUUUUGUCCUGGCAGCAACCUGCAUAGCAACUGGGAGCAUGGACCCCAGCAUAAAGGUUUUGAGAACCAACCAAGUUGCUGCUCGGAGUGACGUACAGUUUGUUGACAAGUUCAUUAGCUGUAGGUAUUUACGUCACUGCUGCAGAAGCGCUGGGGUACGGCGGAGGCAGAGGCAGCGGUUUCUGCCUAGAUACACCACCAGCCACGUUGAAAAAGAUGGGAGGAGGGCAGAGUUUGGACGAUCCGGUGAAGGAAGAGGAGAAAGAGGAGGGUCCGCCCGCUCGGCCGAGCGAAGAGCUCCCCGCGGCGGCGGAACGUCCCUCGGAGCCCGUGGGGGACGUCCCACAGUGUCGCAUGGGCGGCAGGACCGUGGACAACAUGUGCUUCAUGAUCUCCUGCACAAACUGGUACUAACACUGGGGUCGCCCAGCCCUGCGCCACCGAAGUAUUCAUUUCGGUGAAAUGCGCGUAAUAAUAUCAGAUUAAUGCUUCUUCCUGCAUAUAAGUGCUCAGUGCAUUCGCAUUUGUCAUAUCCCUCUUCUUUUAAAUGAGCUAUGUUCUUAAAGGUGUGACAAAAAAUAUAGCACGAGGCUUGAAAUGCAACCAGAAACAGGUAAGGCAGACAGGAUUAAAAGGUGAUUUUGACAACUUUUAUUUAGCCAGGGCUCAAUUAAAUUUAUCCAUGACUUUUGUUUUUCUUUUUUUGAGUACACCAGUUUCCAUUUAGCAUUCCAAACUCGAUGACACAGCGUUAAAAACUAUUGGUUAAUAGUCAAUGUUGCCCUUGACAGUGUCAUCAAAUGACUCAGACUUAGGCCCUGUCCACACGUAUACGGAUUUUUCUGAAAACAUAGUUUUUUCCCUCCGUUUUGGCCUCCCGUCCACACGAAAACGGCAUUUUAGGUCACUGAAAACGAAGCUUUUUGAAAACGCCUUCCAGGGUGGAGAUUUUUCAAAACUCAGAUUUAUCUGUCUUCCUGUGGACAAGAAAAACGGAGCUUUAUGAAAACGCUGACGUCAUGACGUCAACUCGCGCAUCAGUUACCAUGGCAAUUGGUGUAUUGCGCAUGCGGCAAUCGUUUAGUGUUCUCCUGUGGGCGGAGAUGUCUUUUAAAACGCCGGUCGUGUGGAUAGGAUUUUUUUUUUUAACGGAGGGGGAAAAAACUACGUUUUCAGAAAAAUCUGUAUACGUGUGGACAGGUCCUUAGGGCCUAUGCACUCCAAUCUCUCUGUUUCUGUGGCCAUAGGUUGGCAUUUUUAGUUUAGCCAUCAAAGGGCAAGCUCUUUACCUAUGGAGCUACUGCAGGAGGGGCUCAAGCCAUAAAGAUGAAAGAAUGAAAUAAUGGCCUGCACAAGGUGGUAAUUACCCUGUUACUUUAUUUGUGGCAGUGUUCAUUGGAUGCUAGUGUCAGGAAAAGCACUUACAAACUACAGUCAGUCCCUGGCCAACAUAACUAUCUCAAUAGUAUCCCUUAUUGUCCCUUUGAGAUAAUGCCAUUGUCCUUUUUUAGUGGCCUGUCAUUGAGUUUAAUUGGAAACUGUUGUGUAAAAAAUGAUAGGGUCCAACUCGAUGGGAAAAUAGCGCAGAUUUUCUUUUUUGAUAUUAUAGUGGUGGGUAAAAAUUCUCUGUGGCCAGGGAAUUUCUUCAUCCACUAGCUAAAUUCAUUUUCAUCUAAACCAAAUUUAAAAUCUUUGCACACUUUCUGUGUUGGUCAAAUUCACGGUGUUAGCCCAUAACACCAUUUUGUACAAACUUGUGUAAUAGCGCAGGUUUGGCUGAGACUCGGUAUAAAUGUGCUAUCUAUAAUCUGAUGCUAGUGUUACCAUGUGACUUAAUGUCACUGCUAUACAUUCAUAAUGAAAAUCGAUACCAACAUUAUGUUGCCGUAAUAUAAGUAAACAAGAAUGCAAUUUUUAUUUCUUCUUUUUAUUGACAUUUCUUUUUUUAAAUACAACAUGGUGAUAUUGUUAGAUACACAGUGUAGAACUGUUAAACAAAAGAGAAAAGUAAAAAGCAAUACCUUUAUCCAAUAAGUAUGGUUAAUAAUUAUAAUUAAAAAGUUACAUUUUUAUAAAGCUUGAAUAACAGUUUAAAACAGAAAACCAUGGACCAUUUUUGAGUUUUUAUAUAUUUUUUUAACAAAGGUGGUUUAAAAAUAGCAGUGAAAUGAAAACCCUGAAGGAAAAGAAAAAAAAAACAUCACUGAAUGUGUUUUCUAUUUUUAUUUACAUGAUAUUUAUCAUGGCGAAUGAUAUAUUAACCUUGAACUGUGGAUAAGCCUGUUUUAUUAAUGCUAGAAAAUAAGACCCAGAAUCCUUUAUUCUCACUGUGUACGAAAUCCUCAAUUUUAUUCUCCAUACAUUUCAAUAUUUGGGGCUAAUGGAUAUGUCUAAAAAUUAUUUAUUUCUUUGUUCUCUGUUCACUUUUUUUCUUUGUGAUAUUUUACAUGUUGAGAUUUGCUUACAGUGUGUUGAUGUAUUAGAUUUGCUUAGUUUUAUGAUCAGAGGAAAUGUAAUGAAAUUGGCAGAGUGACAGAUGUUGGAGUUUGCAUUUUAGAAAUGUGCUGCAUUCAGUGGUAUUCAUCGCCAGACGGCAAAAGGGGGGGGGGGGGGGGGGCGUAUAUACAUAAUUAAAAUCAAACAGAAAUUGUAAUACGCUUUUAAGUACAUGUACUUGUAAAAUGAACAACACUGAAUCCAUAGCAAAAUCAUUAAGAAAGCUCAACAUCAGAUUUUUAGCAUAGCUCCUUUUAAAAGGGUUUUCUCAAAAAUCCUCUGGCAUAAAAAAGAUGGAUCUCUCUUAAAGCUAUAUCAGUUAAAAUCUUACUUGAUCUUCAGUAUUCAAAAUGUUAAAUACAUCAUAUUACUUUCAAAGUCUGGACUA
This is a long non-coding RNA of Anguilla anguilla (European eel), 3254 nucleotides long. RefSeq lists it as uncharacterized. The transcript is spliced from 2 exons. The record is from RefSeq and is a predicted model, not a curated record. NCBI's taxonomy places the organism in Eukaryota, Metazoa, Chordata, Actinopteri, Anguilliformes, Anguillidae.